GGAAUAUACCUCAGUUGGUAGAGUGCUUGCCUUACAUGCAUAAGGCCCUGAGUUCAAUCCCCAGUACCA
RNAcentral lists this transfer RNA (69 nucleotides) under Marmota monax (woodchuck). RNAcentral describes it as "tRNA.Val". The stretch from base 5 to 66 matches the Rfam family "tRNA", at positions 6 to 65 of the family's 71-position model. Rfam says of the family: Transfer RNA (tRNA) molecules are approximately 80 nucleotides in length. Their secondary structure includes four short double-helical elements and three loops (D, anti-codon, and T loops). The record is from RNAcentral. Lineage: Eukaryota; Metazoa; Chordata; Mammalia; Rodentia; Sciuridae.